AAGAUUUAGAUGCACUACUGUUCCACUGGAUGUCAUAAGGUGAAUGCACCAACUUGUAAGUCGCUCUGGAUAAGAGCGUCUGCUAAAUGACUUAAAUGUAAAUGUCUUAAAUGUAAGCAUUUAUUUGGGCUGCAAUUUCUGAGGCUGGUAACUCUAAUGAACUAAUACUCUGCAGCAGAGGUAACUCUGGGUCUUCCUUUCCUGUGGCGGUCCUCAUGAGAGCCAGUUUCAUCAUAGCACUUGAUGGUUUUUGCAACUGCACUUGAAGAAACUUUUAAAGUUCUUGAAAUUUUCCGGAUUGACUGACCUUCAUGUCUUCAAGUAAUGAUGGACUGUCAUUUCUCUUGGCUUAUUUGAGCUGUUCUUACUAUAAUAUGGACUUGGUCUUUUACUAAAUAGGGCUAUUUUCUGUAUACCACCCCUACCAUGUCACCACACAACUGAUUGGCUUAAAUUCAUUAAGGAAAGACAUUCCACAAAUCAACUUUUAACAAGGCACACCUGUUAAUUGAAAUGCAUUCCAGGUGACUACCUCAUGAGGCUGGUUGAGAGAAUGCCAAGAGUGAGGCAAGGCAAAGGGUGGCUACUUGAAAAUAUAUUUUAAUUUGUUUAACACUUUUUUGGUUACUACAUGAUUUCAUAGUUUUGAUGUCUUUACUAUUAUUCUACAAUGUAGAAAAUAGUUUUUAAAAAAUGAAAACCCCUUGAAUGAUUGUUGUCCAAACUUUUGACUGGUACUGUACGUUUUUCCAACAGUACACUAUGAUCGAUAAUGUCAAAAGCCUCCCUGAAGUCUAACAAAACAUCUUACACAGUCUUUUAUCAAUUUCUCUCAUCAAAUCAGUCAUUUGUGUAAGGGCCAUGCAUGUUGAAUGCCCUUCUCUAUAAGCGUGCUUAAAGUCUUAAUUUAUUUUCUGUAAAAUACCUUUGUAUCUGCUCAAAAAACUGUUUUACAAAAGUUUCUUAAGGUUGGUGACAGGCUGAUUGGUCGGCUAGUUGAGCCACUAAAGGGUGCUUUACUAUUCCUAUGUAACUUUAGCUUCCCUCCAGGCCCGAUGGUACACACUUUUUUAGUAACCUUAGAUUGAGGAGUUGGAAAGUAGGAGUGGCAAUAUCGUCCGCUAUUAUCCUGUCAUUUUCCAUCCAAGUUGUUCAUAUACAACAGUUUUUUCACCUCUUCCACACUCACUUUACAGAUUUCUAAAUUACAAUUUUUUUUUUUUUCACCUUUAUUUAAAACCAGGUAGGCAAGUUGAGAACAAAUUCUCAUUUACAAUUGCGACCUGGCCAAGAUAAAUGUAACGCUCGUCUGAAGAAGAGGACCAAAGCGCAACGUGGUACGUGUUCAUGAUUAUUUACUCAACCUGAACACUGAAACAAAAUAACAACGUGGAACAAAAUGAAACAGUUCUGUCUGGUGCAGAACCAAAACAACUACCCACAAAACAACAGGUGGGAAAAAGCUGCCUAAGUAUGAUUCUCAAUCAGAGACAACGAUAGACAGCUGCCUCUGAUUGAGAACCACACCCGGCCAAACACAAAUAAAUAGAAAACAUAGAAAUAAAAAAACUAGAAUGUCCACCCUAGUCACACCCUGGCCUAACCAAAAUAGAGAAUAAAAACCUCUAUGGCCAGGGCAUGACAAUAAAGCAAAGCAGUUCGACACAAACAACAACACAGAGUUACACAUGGAGUAAAACAAACAUACAGUCAAUAAUACAGUAGAAAAAUAAGUCUAUAUACGAUGUGAGCAAAUGAGGUGAGAUAAGGGAGGUAAAGGCAAAAAAGGCCAUGCUGGCGAAGUAAAUACAAUAUAGCAAGUAAAACACUGGAAUGGUAGAUUUGCAGUGGAAGAAUGUGCAAAGUAGAAAUAAAAAUAAUGGUGUGCAAAGGAGCAAAAUAAAUAAAUCGGUAGGAUAGUACGUUUUACAAGGGUAUGUUUGGCAGCAUGAGUGAAGGAUGCUUUGUUGCGAAAUAGGAAGCCAAUUCUAGAUUUAACUUUGGAAUGGAGAUGUUUGAUGUGAGUCUGGAAGGAGAGUUUACAGUCUAACCAGACACCUAGGUAUUUGUAGUUGUCCACAUAUUCUAAGUCAGAAUCAAUCAGUCACAAUGCUUGUCUUUCAUAAUUUGAUCUGUUAGGGCGGCAGGGUAGCCUAGUGGUUAGAGCGUUGGACUAGUAACCGGAAGGUUGAGAGUUCAAACCCCCCGAGCUGACAAGGUACAAAUCUGUCGUUCUGCCCCUGAACAGGCAGUUAACCCACUGUUCCCAGGCUGUCAUUGAAAAUAAGAAUAUGUUCUUAACUGACUUGCCUGGUUAAAAAAAUAAUAAUAAUAAUAAUAAUAAUACUUUGAUGUGUAGGUCUCGAGUUUGUUGUUCUCGUGUAGGUCUCGAGUUUGUUGUUCUCGUGUAGGUCUCGAGUUUGCUACUCUUGCCAAUGAAAAAAAUAUUGAAUUAGUUGGCAAUAUCAGUGGGUUUUGAGAAUGAGCCAUCUUAUUUAAUGAAUGAUGGAGCUGAGUUUACCUCCAAAGCUUUUUACUAUCAUUCUUUAUAUAAUUUCGAUUUGUUUAAUAGUAUAGUUUCUUCUUCUUUUUGUUCUGUUUCGUCACAUGAUUUCUCAAUAUGUAGUAGGUUUGCCAAUUGGUUGUGGAGACAGACUUAUUUGCCAUUCCUUUUGCCUCAUCCCUCUCAACCAUACAUUUUUAAAUUCCUCAUCAAUCCACUGGGGUGUAAACACUUUUACAGUCAUUUUCUUAAUGGGUGAGUAAGUGGCGUAAGAGAUUUCAUAAAUGUGUCAAGUUCAGCAUCUGGUUGCUCCUCAUUACAUCAGGCAUAAGGGUCAACCUAAUUAUCCUAACCUGCUACGUUAAUUAUCUUAACCUGCUGCAUGAAUUCUUCUAAACUGCUUCCAGUCGUAGCUGUGUCAUGGUGGCAUGUUUUUAGGGAAUCUCAGGCGCAUUUGAAAUUCACAAACGGUUGUCUACAAUCAGCAGAGAUAGAAGAGGAAGCGAGACACCCAACUUCCUCAUUUUCUCUUUACAUUACAGUCAAUGUAAAGUGGUGGCAGGGUAUCCUAGUGGUUAGAGCAUUGGACUAGUAACCGGAAGGUUGCAACUUCAAACCCCCAAGCUGACAAGGUACCAAUCUGUCGUUCUGCUCCUGAACAGGCAGUUAACCCACUGUUCCUAGGCCGUCAUUGAAAAUAAGAAUGUGUUCUUAACUGACUUGCCUAGUUAAAUAAAGAUAAAAUAUUUUUUUAAUGAUCUAAGCUGCCCAGACCCAGUUGCUAUUGCAUCGGUGUCUCAGGGAGAACCACCCGAUUAAGCAGACCCGAACUAACCAUUUUGUUCAGUGGUAAACAAUGUUCAUUUCUCCACCAUGCCCCUUCACUGUCAGUGUCAACUAUUGGCCCAGUUGAAAUUCUUUCAAUGUGCAUCCUUCCAGGAAACCCAUGUGGAGACAAUUACCUGUCCAAUCAGUGAGUUUUCAAGGAAGGAUGCACUUUUUAAAGGAAGGUCAAUAUAAUCCUUCUCGUUUGGAAUCUCUAAAGAUAUAAAAAAUUGUUUUGGAAUUUAGUCAAUAAUACACGUCUGUAAACAAAACAUUUGUCCCAUUGCUUUGCAUCAGGGCUCCGCAGUGUUGCAGCGAUCUAAGGUAAUGCAUCUCAGUGCAAGAAGAGUCACUACAGUCCCUGGUUCUAAUCCAGGCUGUAUCACAUCCGGCCAUGAUUGGGAGUCACAUAGUGCGGUGCACAAUUGGCCCAGCAUUGUCCGGGGUAGGUUGUCAUUGUAAAUAAGAAUUUACCAUUUGAAAUCAUGGACACACCUGACCUUUCCCAGAACAGAACAGACCUGGCUCCUACUAAGGUGUCCAUCUUCAUCCCCAGUAUUGGAAGACAGGCUGUCUAUCAAGGUCAUGGCCUUUUUAAUCUUUACACCACAAAACAAAUGUGCCAGCCUCCAACUUGUAUUUAAAAACAGAGUCUAGAUCACAUUCACCAUGUAGUGGACAGAAAUUGGGCCCUACUGUCUAGUCUAGUUUUCAAGCCAAUGAACCACACAUUAGACUGGAUUGUUCUGAAGAAUGUCCUGGAUGCUUGAAUCUGUAUAAUAUUCAUAAGAAGUUUUAGUUCAAAUCUGGCUGAAAUUCAUGAACAAGUAUACUGUACCAUUCUGAUGUUAUAGGCUACCUUACCUGUUCUUGUUCCCACAAACAGCAUUGAUGUUCCCUCAGUGUCUGAUACCUAGUAAAAGGAAACCUCAACUCAAUAAAACUUUAAAAAGUGCAACCCUUGAGGUAAUACACAUUGAGUAUGAUAGAGAAUACUGCUGUAUAAAGUGGGGGUAUUGGGGGAUUAUUAAGAACACAUUACCACGAUUGAAAAAUAGGGAGGGGGGGGUCACACAUUGACGAAGCAGGGUUGAAGAGAGUUUGGGGUUAAAGUAGAGAUGAGACUGGAGGAGAGGAGAGUUCAGAUUGACAGUGUAAAUAUAGAGAAAGCAUAGUUAAUAUUUCCAUGUUUUCAUCAUACAUUCAGUAAGUAAAUGUAAGUGAUAUUAGGAAUUUACUCAGGUCAAUUAUUUUCAAAGAUUUUCAUAUUGAUCAUUUGUUUUUGAAAGGCCAUGCCGCUUACUAAUAGAUUUGACUGUUAAAAGACUCUAAACAAUUUUCAAAACAAGAAUUCAACCAAAAGUGCCGUGUUCAAAUAACCAGACUUGCAUUUUAGGUAAGUGAAAAAAUAAUGUUUUAUGGUAUGUGACAUUGUCUUGCUUUCAAUUCCAGGAUGUUAUACUAAUUACGGCUUUUCAUCUAGUAGAUUUAGAGAAUCGUCUUUCCAGGCCUACGUGUUUGACAACAGUUGAUAAUGAGACGAGGGGAUGAGAUGUACCCAAAUGAACAAAAUGGCAGGAAUCAACACAAUUGUGUAUUAUAUGGCGCAUUCUCAAUAUGGCUUAUAUUGGACGAUGCCUUUUCGUUGCCACAACCUGAAUGCCAAUCACCAAAUGAAAGGACUCCCCUUCAUCUACACUGAUGGAAGUGGAUUUAGCAAAUGACAUCAUUAAGGGAUCAUAGCGUUCACCUGGUCAGACUCAUGGAAAGGGCAGGUGUUCCUAAUGUUUUGUGUUCAGUGUAAACGUUUUUGGUCAUAUUGCCAGAAGAUUCCACCCAAACCCUACUGUUAAGCUGGUUUACACUGAGCUUCCCUGGGGUCAGAACGCAACCAUGGUCACAUAGAGCCCCACAGUGGUGUCAUAAGGUGACUUUUAUCAAUAUAUUUUGUCUCUAUUUACUCUCAGAUUCGAAAAUGCUAAUUAGCGUCACAGUAGACAUCAUGCAAAACUACAAAUCCCUGAAAACUCCUGCUCUCUCGCUGACACCUUUGCUAAGGUAUACACAGGUAUUGUGUACAUUUAAAACUGUCACAAGACAGUUCACAGAAUGAUCCAUUUAAAGACAUUUUGACAUUUAUUCCUUGCUACAUUUAGAUAACAUUAGAUAGUUGGUCCAGAGAUUCUUUACCUUUGCCUCGAUUCGGCAGUCUCAUCCAGAUCAUUAUGGCAUGUGCAGUUCUUAAUGAUAACCCUGCCUAGCUUUCAAAAGCACGCUGGCAGUGGGAUGCAGGGUGGUAUGCUGCUGGCAAAUCAGCUGUAACAUUAAGUUAGUUUUAGACUUGAUUGAUUACACUGACUCAGUUGAUUCCAAGGCUAUUAUUUUAUUCCUUGACAAAAUUCUGAAUACAUUCGUUGUGCACUUUUGGUUUCGGGACUAGCUUUUGUCUCUGUUAUCAUUAUGUUUUAUAAAGAUAUUAAUAGUUCUAUUAUGAUUCAUCGUAACACAUCUAAAAUAUUUCAUAUUCACCGUAGUAGUGUACUCCAGGGUUGCCCUAUUUCAUCAUUCUUAUUAAUGUGCUUGAUUUAUUUGAUAAAGAAGGGAAUAUACUCUCUUAUAGAAAGUUCUCAGAUACAUAUAACUUCCCAAUACAUUAUAAAGAAUUUAAUUCUAUAUGCAAAGCAAUACCUUCAGGACUUACUAAAUUAAAGAAAUCUCAUUUGUGUUUUGGCGAACAGUCAAGAUAGAUGCACAAUAUAUGUUAGAAGGUUUCUCCCUGCUCGAUAAGAAAUGUAAUAACACAUUCAUAAGGUCACUUUUUAACUCCAAGAACAAGAUCUCUCCAAGAGAGAAAUUCUUCUGGAAUGAAUGCAUAUAUUACUGAAAUUAAUAGAAGAAAGCUUGAUUGCUUCCUCACAAAUUUUGUAUAUCAAAUAAAGUAAAAUAAAUUCACUUUAAAAUAUUGCACAAAAUAUACCCUUGCAAUAACUUGUUGUCUAAAUUCAUGUAUUUAGAGGACAUAUGCCUUUUCUGUGAUAAAGAAGGAGAAACUAUUAUACACUUUUUAUGAGUGUGACUCUGUGAAAUUUAUAUUGGAUUGAGUAAAGUAUUUUCAUUUCAUUAAUAAGACCCAUGUAUUUACAAUGAAAGAUGUAAUAUGUUGUUAUUAAAAUGAAAACAAAACCA
Oncorhynchus nerka (sockeye salmon) is the source of this 6514-nucleotide long non-coding RNA. RefSeq lists it as uncharacterized. The record is from RefSeq and is a predicted model, not a curated record. Lineage: Eukaryota; Metazoa; Chordata; Actinopteri; Salmoniformes; Salmonidae. The transcript is spliced from 2 exons.